RNAcentral lists this ribosomal RNA (318 nucleotides) under uncultured Lachnospiraceae bacterium. RNAcentral describes it as "bacterial SSU rRNA". It matches the Rfam family "Bacterial small subunit ribosomal RNA", at positions 28 to 339 of the family's 1533-position model. The record is from RNAcentral. Lineage: Bacteria; Bacillati; Bacillota; Clostridia; Lachnospirales; Lachnospiraceae.
GAUGAACGCUGGCGGCGUGCUUAAUACAUGCAAGUCGAACGGAGUUUAGAUGAAACCUAGUGAUUCUAAACUUAGUGGCGGACGGGUGAGUAACGCGUGGGUAACCUGCCCUGUACAGGGGGAUAACGGUUGGAAACGACCGCUAAAACCGCAUAACAUCGGAAUACCGCAUGAUGUUCCGGUCAAAUAUUCAUAGGUACAGGAUGGGCCCGCGUCUGAUUAGCUAGUUGGCGAGGUAACGGCCCACCAAGGCGACGAUCAGUAGCCGUACUGAGAGGUAGAACGGCCACAUUGGGACUGAGACACGGCCCAAACUCC